AGAGUUUGAUCCUGGCUCAGGACGAACGCUGGCGGCGCGCCUAACACAUGCAAGUCGAACGAGCGAGAGAGAGCUUGCUUUCUCGAGCGAGUGGCGAACGGGUGAGUAACGCGUGAGGAACCUGCCUCAAAGAGGGGGACAACAGUUGGAAACGACUGCUAAUACCGCAUAAGCCCACAGCUCGGCAUCGAGCAGAGGGAAAAGGAGCAAUCCGCUUUGAGAUGGCCUCGCGUCCGAUUAGCUAGUUGGUGAGGUAAUGGCCCACCAAGGCGACGAUCGGUAGCCGGACUGAGAGGUUGAACGGCCACAUUGGGACUGAGACACGGCCCAGACUCCUACGGGAGGCAGCAGUGGGGAAUAUUGCACAAUGGGGGAAACCCUGAUGCAGCGACGCCGCGUGGAGGAAGAAGGUCUUCGGAUUGUAAACUCCUGUUGUUGAGGAAGAUAAUGACGGUACUCAACAAGGAAGUGACGGCUAACUACGUGCCAGCAGCCGCGGUAAAACGUAGGUCACAAGCGUUGUCCGGAAUUACUGGGUGUAAAGGGAGCGCAGGCGGGAAGACAAGUUGGAAGUGAAAUCUAUGGGCUCAACCCAUAAACUGCUUUCAAAACUGUUUUUCUUGAGUAGUGCAGAGGUAGGCGGAAUUCCCGGUGUAGCGGUGGAAUGCGUAGAUAUCGGGAGGAACACCAGUGGCGAAGGCGGCCUACUGGGCACCAACUGACGCUGAGGCUCGAAAGUGUGGGUAGCAAACAGGAUUAGAUACCCUGGUAGUCCACACCGUAAACGAUGAUUACUAGGUGUUGGAGGAUUGACCCCUUCAGUGCCGCAGUUAACACAAUAAGUAAUCCACCUGGGGAGUACGACCGCAAGGUUGAAACUCAAAGGAAUUGACGGGGGCCCGCACAAGCAGUGGAGUAUGUGGUUUAAUUCGACGCAACGCGAAGAACCUUACCAAGUCUUGACAUCCCUUGACGAACAUAGAAAUAUGUUUUCUCUUCGGAGCAAGGAGACAGGUGGUGCAUGGUUGUCGUCAGCUCGUGUCGUGAGAUGUUGGGUUAAGUCCCGCAACGAGCGCAACCCUUACUGUCAGUUACUACGCAAGAGGACUCUGGCAGGACUGCCGUUGACAAAACGGAGGAAGGUGGGGAUGACGUCAAAUCAUCAUGCCCUUUAUGACUUGGGCUACACACGUACUACAAUGGCGUUAAACAAAGAGAAGCAAGACCGCGAGGUGGAGCAAAACUCAGAAACAACGUCCCAGUUCGGACUGCAGGCUGCAACUCGCCUGCACGAAGUCGGAAUUGCUAGUAAUCGUGGAUCAGCAUGCCACGGUGAAUACAUUCCCGGGCCUUGACACACCGCCCGUCA
Molecule: ribosomal RNA, 1369 nt
Filed under: uncultured bacterium
Lineage: Bacteria
Description: 16S ribosomal RNA
Rfam family: Bacterial small subunit ribosomal RNA
Source: RNAcentral